GUUGUGUAAGGGCAGUGUAUGUGUAUAUGCGUGUUAAUGGGCAGAUGUGUGUGUAAAGGCAGUGUGUAUGUGUAAAUGUGUGUUUAUGGACAGGUGUGUGUAAGGACAGUGUAAAUAAAAUAACCUCUGUAAAAAAAAA
This is a long non-coding RNA of Spea bombifrons (plains spadefoot toad), 139 nucleotides long. RefSeq lists it as uncharacterized. The transcript has 2 exons. NCBI's taxonomy places the organism in Eukaryota, Metazoa, Chordata, Amphibia, Anura, Pelobatidae. The record is from RefSeq and is a predicted model, not a curated record.